Molecule: long non-coding RNA, 18698 nt
Filed under: Marmota monax (woodchuck)
Lineage: Eukaryota; Metazoa; Chordata; Mammalia; Rodentia; Sciuridae
Source: RNAcentral
GGCGAGCAGCCUCCUCCAGCACAUGCUCCUGCUGCCAUGAAGCUCUGCCUCCCUAUAAGCCAGAAAAAAUGGACACCUGGCCCUGGACUGAAAGCUCUGAAACUGUGAGACAAAGUAAAUCUUUUCUUCUUUGGAUUAUUUUUCUCAAGUACUUUGUCACAAUUAUAGAAAACCUCCAAAAAGUUCCCACCUCUUGAUACCAUCACCUUCAAGUUUAACUUCCAACAUGGUUUUUUGGAGGAGCACAUGUUUUCAAACCAGAACAAACACCAGCAAUUAUCUGGUUUCCCCAUGAUCUGAAUGUUGUGUUGCUUUUAGAGCAAUCAGAGACAUCCAUGCCGGUUUAUACCCACACCUUCUCAGAACUCCAGAAUGUCCUUUGUGGUAUCUUAAGACUGUCUCAGGUGCAUAGUUUCUGUGCCCUUGCAAAAGGCAUAGGAUUGCCUAUUCCAAUGCCCAUCGUUUCAUGGUCUCUUCUCUCCAGUGUACCUGUAGCGAACAAAGUCCCUUGGAUUCCAAGUGAGCUGAUGGCAGCACUGCUUUCUCUUUUCUUUGGGGUGUGAGUUGAUUGUGGUCAUAGUCACCUUCUUUUUCCUUCAAGACCACAUUCCCAUUCUAUUUGAAAAAUGUUUGUCUGGGUAACUUCCUCCCUUGGAAUGUUUGGCAUCCUCUCCACCCACCAUGCAGGACCACCCCUUCUGCCCAUGAUUGUCAUCACUGUAGACUAACACAUGUCUUCCAUUCCCAGCAUGUACUUUUUCUUCUUUCAAGGUACCAUAUAUGGUAUAUAAGAAAGUAAGUGAUAUGGAUGCUGACACCUUUCAGGUGAGGUGGCACAAAGGGAGGAGACAAAGCUUAAAUAUUUACCUUAGAUGGAACUUGACUUUGCUUGUUUGAGACCUUUAUUUAUUAGUUCCUAUAUACUUGGCCAUGGGUAAGGGAAAACGAAGGGAGGAGGUGGUAGUGAAGAGAAUGAAGUGAGGGAUUCUUGCAGACUCUUUUCCUCUAGAGCCUGGAGGCCCCAUUUGGAACUGCAUUGGGAAGUGACUAUCUCUUCAUUCACACACAGGCUUCCCCUGGGCAGUUCUUUCCUCUGGCACUUGAAUCAGAUGUGGAUAGAUUAAGCAUUUUCUCUUGCUGCCAAUGGACAUUUAGAAAGUUGGUUAGUCUCAAGUGCACCAUUACAACCUCACUUUUUAUUUUUAUUAAAAUCACAAACUUAAGUAAUGAGAAAUAAUUAUUUUUGGGGUGAGUCAGCUCUUUUCACAAGUUGGGUUUGUGACCAUUACCCACUGAGAGGAGGACAAUCUCAGCUAAGAAUCACGCUUAAUUAUAAAAACAAGGAAUGAUGAUGACAAUGGGCAAUUUGAGUAAUUAAAAUUAUUUAGAGAAGCAUUGAUUGGUUUAAACCAAAAUAUGCCUGAAAGCUUAUUUGUAUUUUAUAUAUAUUCACAUGACAUUCUUGUCACCUAGUCUUCUUUCUCAUUUCAAAACACUGGAGGAUAUUCUAUAUCCUGGAAUAAUAAUUGAGACUACUCCAUUCAAAUACUUUGAAUUUACGAGACUAGCUAACUACAAUUCUUUCAGUAUAGGAAAAGGAUAUUAGAAUUUUAGGGAAAACUGUUCCUGGUUUCUUUGCGUUAUGUUUAGCGGUUUUAUUUUUGUUGAAAUUCUCCAAAUUAAAAUGCAAAAGCUUAACUUCUUGGCUGGGUUUGCUUGCUUAACCUUAAUAAAAUAUAAGGCUCUGUUUCAUUAAUCAGAAACACACUAGACACAGUGCAUGAAUUUUAUCUUCCACUUUGUCCUUUGUAUUUCAGAAUGAUAAUAAUAAUAAAAAUUUAUAGGGGUUGGCAGGCCAGACAAUCCUGCCUCCAUUGUUUCUAGGAGGUUCCUUUGUAAAAUGGAUUUCUCAGACAGGCAAAAUGCCUUCAGGGACAAAAAUUCCUAUAAUCCUCUUCUCUGGAAAUCUUUAAAAAUAGAAUAAACUUUUAUUCAUUCGUCUGGGUGUGGUUUAAGCACAGUUCGUCUUAGGCAGAGGGAUGGUUUAACUGACCUCUUGAUGUUGCUGUAAGCUGCACAAUCACUUAAAUGGGGGAAUUUUCCUUUAAUCAGUGCCAGAUUUAAUUUAUCACAACAAUACAUGUUUUUAUGGAUGUAGUAAAACAAAAAUCAGGUGCAAUCUUCUUUUCCAUGGUAAAGUAAUAAAAUGGUUUAUUCUCAAAUUCGAGAAAGUAAAAUUGAAUCAGGAACAGAUACGAUGUUUUCCCCUUCCUCAAAUUUGUACCACAGAUAGUGAAAUGUGAUGAACAGCAUGCAAUGUAAAACAGUAUCUUUUCAAACAAUUGGACCAAAUCAGCAAAGCCGAACCAUAUGCCUCAUCAGGACCACCUUCAUGUUCCUCUCAUGAAUCUGAAGCAGAACAUCUGGACAGAUGGAGAGCACUGACCACACUGGGAUGCUGAUGGGCAUAGACAGGAUGGGCUCUGGGAGGGAGGGGGGAGAAUGAUUGGACAGAUAUGGUUGCAACUGUGUCGGCAUAGGCUGUUAUGCAUGCAUCAUUCUGUCCUUUUCCCAGAUUCGCCCUGGGCGACCAUAAGUCCCCUGCUAUUUAAUCCUCCCUGCUUGGAGUGAUUAUAUUAUGAAAGUUUUCAAUUUCCACAGAAAUGUCAAAGGAAAGAAAAGUGUUAUCAUUUUAGCACAUGGAUCCUUAAAAUGCAUGCAUGUCCCCACAUACCCACAUGCUCAUGACAAUGGGCCAGGUUUAAAUAUUUCAGUUGUAGUCAAAUUCACAUUUAACUGAUAAACUUAACACUGUUAAAUCAUAGUUAAGGACGCAUUUCCCAAUUCUUUUUAUUUGUCAAGAGAGACUCCAAAGUUGUUUUUUAACAGGUAAGGUUUAUUGAAGUAUUGUUUAUCUGAAAAUAUACCCAUUGUAUACAUUCAAAUCAAAUAAAUGUUUUUUAGUAAAUCUGUAGAAUUGUGUAGCACUCACAUUUUUAGAAUACAAUCCAGUUUUAGAAUAUUUUCAUCCCUCCACCAAGUUCUCUGUGCCCACUUCUCCUAUCUCCAGUCCUAGACAAGCAAUAACUGCUUCCUAUGCUAUAUAUUUGUUUUUUCUAAAAAAAUUCAUAUAAAUUAAGCCACGGAAAAGUUAUCUUUUUUGAAUGUGUCUUUCAUUUUGCAUGAUAUGUAGGUUUAUUUGUCUUGUUGUAUAUCAGUAGUUUGCACCUUUUUAUUGCUGAAUAAUAUUCCCAUGUUUGAGUACACUGCAAUUUUAAAGUUAAUUCUCCAUUUGACAGACACUUGGCUUGUUUCCAACUUUUGGCAUUAGAAUAUGCUAUUGUGAAGAUUCAUGUACAAGUCUUUAAAUAAACAUAGGUUCUCAUUUCUCUUGGUUAGAUAACUAAGUGUGGAAUUUCUGAGUCAUAGGCUAACUUUACAUUUAACUUAAAAAAAAACCCAGAAAAAAUGGGCUGGGGAUGUGGCUCAAGCGGUAGCGCGCUCGCCUGGCAUGUGUGCUGCCCAGGUUCUAUCCUCAGCACAACGAGCAGAACAAAGAUGUUGUGUCCGCCGAUAACUGGAAAAUAAAUAUUAAAAUUCUCUCUCUCUCUCCCUCUUUCGCUCUCUCUUUAAAAAAAAAAAAACCAGAAACUUUUUCCAAAAUGAUAUAUAUAGGUUCCAAUUUCUCCAUAUCCUUGUCAACACUUAUUAUUGCUAGAUUUUGAUUAUUGUAACCUAAGAGAGUAUGAAGUAGUAUUUUAUUGUGAAUUUAGAUAUUAAAUAUCUUUUCACAUGCUUGUUGGAUAUUUGUAUAAAUUGUUUAUUAAUUUUUAAAGGGGGUUGUUUGUUUUUAGAAUUGUAGGAGAUCUUGACAUAUUCUGGAUACAGAUUCUUUUUGAGAUCUAUAUCUGAAAAUAUUUUCUAUCAGUCUGAUUUGUCUUUUAACUUUAAUAGUGUCUCUUGAAAAACAAAUUUUAAAAUUUUGAUGAAGUCCAAUUUAUCUAUUUUUCUUUUAUAGCUCAUGACUCCAUGUCUGAUCUGGCAGUAAACUUCAGUUUCUAAGAACAGGGAAGUAAAAUGGUUCCAAAUACAGUAGUCCCUUACCAUUUUCCUUAGGACCAUAAAACUUUAAGGAAACCAAAAGCAUCAAAACAUAUUCUCAAAAAACCAAUUAGGGAACCCCUAAUUCCAUCUUUUGCCAACUUAACACAAUUUACCUUUAAAGAGUUAAAGUCUUGGGUAGGUUAGUAGUUCAUAUAGAGCAAAUGUGAAGGUUGUUAUUGAGAGCAAGACUGAAGGGAUAAUACUCCUUGCAUGACUAAGUCUAGUUACCAGGGUAUCUUGAUGUUAGCAUACACUAAUCAUAUAUAAAUAAUCAAACCACACAAACUUACUUUUUUCUGAAAAGAAAAAACAAUAUAAGCUGCUACAAGGUUUGUAGUUGGAGACAAAGCUUUAUUUUCAAAUUAAUGAUAUCCAUAAUUAUUUUAUUAUUGUCUUUUUCUCAGUGUAAUGUGGGUUAUUCCUUGCUGAUAUUGCUAUUAUGAAAACAUUUGAAAUAUUUAACAGAUGGAUGGACUUGAAAGAAGAUAGAAAAGAGGAAGUUAAGAAGCCUGGGCACAGCCCUGGAAUUAGAGUUGAAAUACUGCAAGAGGUAUAGCUUCGGUGAGCCAGUUUAUUACACUAGACCAGCAUUUAUAAGUUGAAUAUACUCUGAAUCAACUAGGAGAACCUAUCAACCUUUACGUAUAAAUUGGAAAAAAAAAUAACUGAGCAAAAAAUUUUUACAAAUAAAAUCCAUUUUUAUGAUGAGGUUAAUAUAAGUUUAUUUAUUUUAGAAUAUAUAGAUAAAAAUCUGGACUUAUAUGAAAACUAUGGCAGACUUCUUAGCGAAACUAACAGAUUAAUUCAAUUCCGUGCAUACAGUGGAAUUAGUCUCCUUGUUUGUCUCCUGAUCUGACAAGCUUGUUCAUUGAAAUGAUUAUUUUGUUGCAUUAUGGUGGGAUGGUUGAUAUGAAAUUGGACCCACCAGAUUGAAGUUAUUCCAAGUCCACAUCACUUUACAUGUUGAAUGAGAGUCUAGUUUCUUAGUGAUGAUUGUCAUGGCUGCCAUUAUAGGAAGAAACUUCUGAGAAAGUGAAAGGUUUUCUUUGGUCGGAGUUAAGCAUAGUUGUUGCCUUCUAGAAUGAUGAUUUAAGCGAGUCACCUGUGAACAUGAGGUUUUGUUUAAAUUUGUACAUGAAGCAAGAAAGAUGAUGCCUGACAAGGAUGAGUUGCUGCGUUAAUUAAAUUAGCAGUGGAUAUUUUACUAGCUUUAAUUAGUGUAAAAUAAGCCACAGAAAUAAAGAUAACGAUUAAAGCGUGCUAAUCUGAUUAGAAUCACAAUGUGCAUUGUUAUAGGCUACUGGAUAGUAGAAAAUCACCAGACUACGGCUGGAAAGAUGCAGAGACCAUCUUUUCAGAAAAGAUGGCUGAUAAAGGUACGCACACCUGGAGCUGCUAUUGGAUUGUCAGUGUGGGGAGAUUGUGCUCGAGAAAUACCAUUAAAAUUAUGGAUCAUCAAUGAAUGGAGAAGAGCCCUUUUCUACAGGAAGGUGUUAAAAACCAUAACUUCUCAUGGUAGAGGGAGCUAAACCUGAUUCUAGUGCUUUUACAAAUAGAGCAAGAUUUUAGGCAGUAGGACCCUGCCUCUCCAAGUUUCAAAUUCAUAGAGAGCCUACAAAGUAGAAGGAUUGUAAAAUGACUGCACUCUCCUCCUCCUGACCCACACAAUUUAAGCAAUGUCCAUUUGAGACAGGCAGGCAAAGGAUAUGCUAAUAUGUGUUGAGAGAAAUCCUAUUUUAUCAAAUUCAAGGCAGUGCAAUUCACAUCCCUAAAUUAUCAUGUAAAUCUUCUCCAAUGCAUGGUUCCUCAGUCUCACUAGAAUUACUUUUAGCUUAAGAUGUAGAUAGGCGGAAACAGUCUAUUGUUUUUCCAUUAGUUCUCCUGCCUUCCCCAUUUCCUGGUGUGUAAAAUUUGCAAUCACCUCAAAGGCUGAAUGGUAUAACAGGCAAUCAGUCUUUUGUCAUUUUCUAUGUGUGUAUACAGAGCAUCAUUUAUGAGAAUUUAGUUGUAUUUAGGUAAUCAGAAACCAACAGAAACUUCCCUAUUAAACCAAAUCAUAACCAAAGCUUUUAGAAGACACUCAAUUAUAAAUUAAAUAAAAUUGUUGGAGCCUAUACUGACUUAGGCUUCCAACCAUUGGCAUUGACUAUUUCAAAUUUUUAUUCCUUUGGUGUGGACUUAUUGUAAAAAUGGAUUUCCCUUCACUUUUGCAAAUGCCAAGACAUUAGAAGAAAUUCACUUUAAGUGAUCAGUAUUAUGAUGAAAGUUAUGGCUGUUUCAAAUCAAAUCAUUUUAAAAAAUGGACAUUUUAUUGUCAACUUGAUGGCAUAGAUUUCAGCCGCAAUUGUGUCAGCCAGCCUAUUGAAAUGAUUUAGUUCAAAAUAAAGCAUUAUUCAGUAUAGAUUUUUCAUUAAAAAUACUAAGAGAAAAGAGUUUUUUCUUGUGCUUCAACCUAGAACAUAAAAAGAUGGAGUGAACAAUUGCUGAAAUACACUUGGAUUGAAUUUAUUCAUUUAAUUCUUUAUAUGUAUCUAAUUCAUUAAUUAUAAAUCACAACAUAUAAUUCAUGGCCAUCAUGAAACAUUAUGUGAAGUUCAAUUUCAAUUAGCUGCCAUGUAUAUGGUAACAGAAAUAUAUGUGUGUGUGUGUAUUGACUUUUUAUCUUUUGUAUAUAUAUUUACAUAUAUAUAUAUAUAUACAUUUACAUAUACUUCAGGCAAUGAAUAGUGGUUGAGAACAUCAGAAGAUCAUUAUUAUGCCUUGUGUGUUUGGUAUCAUUUUCAAGGAGUAUAUAUACUCCAGUGAAUAGGUAGGCUAAUUGUUUUUCUUAGAUUUUUAAGAGACAUAUUGAUAAUGUGUGAUCAAUACGGAGACUUAAAGAAGCCAACAAUAACUUGGUAAAAUAUUGCAAUUUCCUGUAAGCUCACAGUCUGUUCUUUCUUCCUCUCUUCCUCCACUUCUCUGUGAAAAGAAAUUGAGUAGGGUGAGUAAGACAGGCACCUGGAAGUGGGGAAGGCCAUGGCACAGUGCAGUUGCAGUUGCUUGAGCAAGUUGAGAUGGCAUCUGUGCCGACUGGGUGGAGUGUCAUAGCCUACUCAGGAUGAGUGGGGCUUUUGUGCAGGGAGGGGCACAUGGGAUGCUAACAGAGGUUCAUAGAGUCAGUGUGGGGGAAGAGGUCCUUCUUACAAGGAAGCAGGAGUUUGGCUGGCCUAGUGAUAGGUGGGGAUGGAUGACUGAGGUGGAGGAGAAAGCCCACCUGUGGAGAGGGGAGGAGUGGGGCCUCCCCCACCCCUGUGUUUGGACCUCUAGUUGGGUACAGAGAGCAUGUGUAUGAUUUUGCAAGAAGUCCUGAAGCCCAAGAAUGGCAGAAGGGUGGCUGUGGGAGGGCUACUGGUGAUGUGACCCAGCAUGGAUCAUAAACCUGAGAAGUGGGUGAGGGAGAAUCCCUGCAGGAUCUAGGUAGUGGCAGCAGCAGCAUGGAUACUGGAGCCCAAGUGGUAUGAGGUGGACAUUUGUACAAGGAGUGUUGCAGAACAACACUGGGAGAAAGAUAGCAUCCACUCGAAGACGGAUGAUGGAUGGUGGUUUGGUGGGGAAUUGGUACUCCUUGGGGGACAUAUUGAGUAAAUAAGCACAGAGAAGAAAAAGGAGAUCAGGUUUUGCACCGUUGGAAAUAGGGAAGAAGUGGAAACUGCAAUGAACCCUGUGGUGUGAGACUGGAAUUGUGGGUAUUGCUUUAAACUCAAGGUUUUGAAUAUGUAGAUAUAGACAGGGCUACACAUAGGUAAAUAAAUAUUAGCAGGGAUGCAGGUGUACAUACAUUUAUAUGUGUAGCAUGUGCAUGCACACACAUGCCAAUAUUCACUAGCUCUGUCAAUGGAAGGGCCUGAGUGCAGUGACCCUCUAGUGUUGAGAGCCACAGCUGAAAGGGGCCCCAGCAAACUUUCAGACUGCCAGCUGAUGAUUGGCUCACAGCGGCCCAGCAACUUCUAGCUGAUUGGCUCCUCUGCAGUGAUGCUCAUUGGGCUGUUUCCCUGCCCUUUCAGACCACGGAGCUGCUCAUUGGGGGACUUUUUGGCUCUGCCCACACGACCCAGCCAAUCGGCCUCAAGAGCAGGAGGAGUGGGGGAGGUUGGGAGGCUUGUGGGAAGCCAGUGGUGGCAGUUGGGCUCUGAAGGUUUUCCUGAGGAGCUGUUUUGUUUGGCGUGUGUGGUUCUAAAAAUAAAGUUCGUUUCUUUUGACAAGUGGCUCCUGAAUUGUGCCCAGCCAGACUGCAGCACUCUAGCACCACUGAGUCCAUCUUGAAUCCAGAUAUUGGUUAUCUGAAAUCCAUUUUCUAACAGAAGAACUAGGAGUCUUAGGAGACAUGGCUAUUCCAGGGAUGGAUCAGAAACAUAAAAUAAACAUAGUUCAUCUCAUUAUGCUAAAAAGAAAGUUCCCAAAAAAUGAUGAGUACAUUUCAAAAGGACAUAGAAGUCAGGUAGCUAAAUUGGGGACAAUUUUAGCAUCAAGACAAAUGACAGAAAACCUCUUCCUUAUAGUAGGGUGCCAGCUGAUUAAUGUAUAAGGAAGAAGAGAAUAAUUUGUUAGCCAUCACAAUAAUAACUGAGAUUAGAAAUGACAAUGGAUGCUCAGGUAGUGUAGAAAGUUUGAUAAGGAAUGCCAUGUUGUCUUAAAAUACUCAGCACAGGGACAUAGUAACCUUACAUUGAAGAAAACUGAUGGACUCCAACUUAAUCAAGUGAUCAAGGUAACCACUCCACUAACAAUGGGACAUGUUGAAAUUUUAUGACAUUCAUCAGGGUGCCAUGAGAACACAGCAUCUGCCCACAGUAUGUAACCUGAAUGCACUCCUAAGGAGACAGAGCCAGACAAAGCCAGAGUGAAGGACAUUCUUCUGAGUAACUGGCCUGUCAUCUUCAAAAGGACGUGUCCCUGUCAUGAAAUCCAAACAAACCCUGAGGAAUGACUGGACACUGAAAGCCAUGAAAGAGACCAAGUAGGAUGUUUCUACUAAAAUGUACGUUCUUGUUCAACUGGUGAAACUUGAAUGCUAUGUGUGGAUUAGAGGGUAAGAAUAUAUAAAAUCCAAGUUCUUCAUAUUGUGAUUUUCAUAUUGAGGCUCUGUAGGAAAAGAUAUUAGUUAUAGGAAAUACAUUAUAAAAUAUUUGGGGGAUAAUGGAGCAGCAAGACAGCAAAACAGCAAAACUAUGGAAAGUUUGAGAAUAUUUCAAAACAGAAAAAAAAUCUGAAAAUCUGUUGUUCUUUUUUUUUUUUUUCUGUAAUGCUGGCUCUGCUAUGAGCUGGCUAUUUGAGAGAAGGAAAACCAUUUCGUCUCUUUAUUUCUCCAUUUUUUUUCUUUUCUUAAUGAGGUAGUUGGACUAAAGUACCUUAUAUUCCCUCCUAGAUCUAAUGGCUUGGUGUUCUCAGAUGUCAAUCAAAACCUUGUACUUAGGGGUUAGGCAAGAAUGGGGUAAGUGGUAAAAGCUUUCCAGAAGAGGAAGUCUUGUGGUUGCAUUUUAUGAGAACUGGAACUCCUGCAGUGCCAGGCAGGGGACAAGGGAGUACAAGAAACAAAAAUGGUACAACCAAAGAAUUGGAGGAAGUUUAUACAACAGCAGGAGACAAGAGGAUUUUUAUUUUUUGGGGGGGUUAUUUCUUGUUCAGCAAGAAACCAUUUUCCUUCUUUCUUCUUUUCUUCCCUCCAUCCCCACUUUUCUCCCUUUAUCUUGAAAAAUAUUUCCGGAGCAUUUUUCACAUUCAAGGCACUUGGUGAAACACCAGGGAGUGCGAUCACAGUCUACUGGAAGAGGAAAGACCACAACACAAAGACAAAAGCUGCUUCAACUUCAUUGCACUUCAACCAUUUGGUAUUCCGCCUCCGCCACUCUGAGGGUGACAAUUGAUUCAGCCUCUUGAUCAACAGUGUGCUCCUUCCUACGCCAACCCAUUUCUUCCCGCUUAUGUGAUUCUUUUAUAGACANNNNAACCAAAGAAUUGGAGGAAGUUUAUACAACAGCAGGAGACAAGAGGAUUUUUAUUUUUUGGGGGGGUUAUUUCUUGUUCAGCAAGAAACCAUUUUCCUUCUUUCUUCUUUUAUUCCCUCCAUCCCCACUUUUCUCCCUUUAUCUUGAAAAAUAUUUCCGGAGCAUUUUUCACAUUCAAGGCACUUGGUGAAACACCAGGGAGUGCGAUCACAGUCUACUGGAAGAGGAAAGACCACAACACAAAGACAAAAGCUGCUUCAACUUCAUUGCACUUCAACCAUUUGGUAUUCCGCCUCCGCCACUCUGAGGGUGACAAUUGAUUCAGCCUCUUGAUCAACAGUGUGCUCCUUCCGACGCCAACCCAUUUCUUCCCGCUUAUGUGAUUCUUUUAUAGACAGGUGACAUGUGCCCUUGUUUUCAUUGAUAGCUGUAAAUUUUAUCUGUGAAAGGAGGUGCCUUAGUCAAGUAGGCAGGACUCUAGAGACUUUAUCUGCUGAUGACUGGGAAAAACAUGGAAUUCAUCUCUUUCGAUUUUUUAAGCCUCAAAGAAAUCCUGCUUUCCCUUUCCUCUCACAGGGGAAAGCUACAAUUUAACAAUUUAUGUGUGAAGUGGAUAAUUUUAUAAAGUAAAAUUAGGAAAUACAAUAUGAAUUGGGUUCUUCUUAAGGGUAUAAAUUAUCCUUUUAAGGUGGUAAAAUGAUAACGUCUAUUUAUAUAACAUUUUAUUCUAACCUCAAGGAUGUAUAUAUGCCAGUGAAAAUCAGUAAGGCAUUCUUAAAAUAAUUUUAAAUCCUUUAAAAUCCAUGGUGUUUUCUUUUUGGAUAGCUUUGGAAGAGUCAUGGAAAAUUAUAGUGCUUGAAUAAAUUUUUUUUUUAUGAAUUUCCAAAUAAAUUUUUUCGUAACGUCCAUCCUUGUUCAUCAUUAAGCCUACAUAGAAAGGACUGAAGCGGCCAUUAAGCAGUGGCUCAAAGGCUCUCUGUUUUAAAGUACUCUCUACUGUUCCAACCAAUAAUGUGUCUAUUGUUUUGGAAAAUGCUAAUUGUUAAAUUGAUUAUGAUAUUCAGGUUCUAACAGUCCAGUUAAACACUGCACAAUGUACCAUGUGGUGUUGGAAAAUAGCUUGUUGUUUGAUGCGCUGUGAUAGCAGAUCUACAUCUAUCUCAAUUAUGAAAGGUUGUUUCAGUGCCACGGUUGUUUUUCUAGAUGUGAAUAGCUCCGACCAGAGAAGGGCAGUGCAAGAUUUUACAUUAUGCUUAUUCUUUUCAUUACGGAACUCGCCCAAACUAACAGAUGCUGAGCAAGGAAAUUACAAAUGUUCUAAGAUUCUGCGGGUGGCUGAGAAAGCCCAUGGAGUGUAUAGAGAGCAUGUGGCUCUGGGAGUUUCUGGCUUUAGCACUCCAUGGCUUCUUUAGGGUCCCAUCUUGGAAGUAAGGAUUUACAAAACAAAGAAGUUGCUGAGUUCCAGCUUUUGGGAAGCUGAAAUACCCCUAUGUCAAAUUUUGUGUUUAGGACUUUGGUUAAUAAAGGGAAAGACUCACCAAUAUUCUCCCACUAGUCUUUUAUCAAAUAGUUACCAAAGCCCUUUGACAGCUUGUGUAAUCAGGAGUUGAUGAUCUAGCCUAAUACUGGGAGACAGACUAGUGAUAAAAUUACUAAAGCAAACCUAUCGUAAUGCCAUAAUAUAACAAAAUGUAAUGCUGGGUCCUAGAGCUGAUGUUGAGUCAGGGAAAAUACUGCUAUAAAGAACAUUGGAAAAUUUACUGAUAUUAAAUUUACUCACUGUGAUAAUAAUACUGUGGUUAUUUAGGAGAUUACCCUUGAUCCUAGGAGACAUGCAGAGGUUUUGGGGUCAUGAUAUCUACAACUCAUUUUCAAAUGGUUAAAAAAACAAAAAGGAUGUGUGUGUGUGUGUGUGUGUGUGUGUGUGUAUGUGAACAAGAGUAAGAGAGAAAGAAAAAGCAGAUAUAUCAGAAUGUUUACAAUUGGUGAAAGUAAUACAUGGGUAUUCCUUUAUGAUUUUUAUAACUUUUUGAAGGUUUGAAGCUAUUCAAAUGAAAAUAGAAAAAAAAAUAGUUAAGUGGGAUAGCCGUGUGUAUGCAGUGCUACAGGGAUGAAAGACAAUUAUGUUUGAGAUAAUUAUAAUAGCUAGUCUAGUGAAACAAAGUUUCAAGUUAUUUAAUUUUAUAAGUUUGAAGCCCAGAAGAAAAAUGUAUUGGUGACAAGAGCCUGAGAAUUCUGAAAGUGGCACUAAUCACACAAUUCCGCAGAACAAGGUAAGAGGCAAUUUAGACCAGGCCCAGUUUAUUAACCUCUCUCAACCCCCAGGAGAAAAGCAGGAUUAUUUUGAGGCACAGUGUGGUUAUAUAACUCACCUCAGGUCACACAGCAAGUAGCUGAGUCAAAAGGUCAAAAAUCACACUUUUGCCAUUCAGUCUCUACUUAAGUACUCUUGUACUUCUUCCAAUAAUUUUGUGUUGAAUUGAGUUUAGAUAUUUCAUUUAAGACAUUUUUCCAUCUACUUUUUCAAGUUUUAUUUAAAGCAUCCAAAGGAAUCCAAUUAUGGUUAGAUGAUUAUUGAAAUAGCCAAAUUGAAACUGCUGAUCUGAUUACUUCUGUAGUGCUAAUUAUUCUGAUUUUUCCUUCAUCAUGAUCAUAAAUGACUGUAAAUGCUUUGUCUGGUCACUGAUUUUUGAAGACUUUCAGUGCAAUCGGAUCUACUCUGCUGCAAUUUGAAUUGUUCAAAAUGGUAAAACAGGAUAUAUUUUAAUGCAUAUCAAGUCUAUGCAUAUAUCUUGAAACAAAAACGAUUCAAUUCAUGGUUAGGAGGACUGAGAUUAAAAAAACAAAAAGAUGGUAUUGAACAAACCUUCUCCAAUUCUUCAUCCAAGCUGUUCAUCUCAGGAGCAGUGUCACCAGAAUGAUAUCAGAUCCCCUUGAGGUACGGCAAGACUGCUUAUUUUAACUUUAGGAAAAUAUAAGUGUUUGAGAAGAUAGUCAAAUGUAAAAUCGUGGAUAUUUUCCUUUAAGGUUCAUAAGAAAGACAAGGGGCAGUCACUUAGAUGAAGAUCUAUUUGAUAGAAAAUUGCAAACACUAAAGUGCCUUUAGAAAAAUUCUCCCUUAAGAUUAUUAGAAAAAGAAAAGAUGACGGACGAGGAGAGAGGUGAGACUUUAAACUGAAAGUAGUGGUAAUCUUCUGCCUUCUGCAAUUUGGGGUAAAGCAGUCUUGCAUUUUAUUCCACUGAUGUUUGUUUCUUUUCACUGCGAAGAUUCAACCUUCAGAGCAGAACCUGACAGGUUGUGCUCUGUUAAUCUAGCCUUCUGGGAAACUGUCUUCAGUUGAAUAAUAGCAACGAAUCUCUGAGCUCACGCCUGUUCUCUGUGCUCAUUCAUCUCAACCAAGCUGCAGCAGAUAUCUUAAAUGAGCCAUAUAGAAGAGCAUUUCACAAAUAACUUAAACUUGAAGUAGUUUUGAAUAAUGUUGCCUUUAGUUUUUAUUUCUGGGUUUUAUUAUGUUCAUCAUGAAGUUUAAUGGAAAGUAUUUUGAGAGAAGGAAUUAAAAUGUGAAAAAUUUCCAGGAUCUAAAUGAUUUAAAUGGUAAUCCAAAACAUUUCUUCUGAGAAGUAUUAUUGUUUUUGUGUGUGUGUGUGUGUGUAUGUGUGCCAGAUAAGAGCAUAAUUGUGCAUCAUCCCAAUCAAAAAUCUUGAGCACAUUAGUGUAUUGAAAAGUCAUGAAGUUAACUAUUUAUAUUUAAUAUACUUCUUUGGAUAUUCUCCUGUGAUAAAUAUAGGCUAUAGCCCUUGAAUUCACUCUUUGGUUACAUGGAAUCUAUAAUUUUUAGAUAAUGAUUAGUUGAUUUUCUAAUUUUUAUUUUUGCAUGGAAGUAUUGUAUCCCUUAGUUGUGAGGCAUGCUAGGGAUGCCAAAGACAAAUCCAGGUGUUGAGGUUCACCUUUGGGAGGACUGGCUCCAUGUGGCGAAAGCUAGUGUUUAAUAGAGCAGUGUCCAGGGAGCAAUGGUAACUCUGGGGACAGUGAUGUGUGAUAAGGUUGCUGUCCUAGAGGUUUACUCUCUUGAAUAGGACAUAAAGUCACCAGACAGGGGUAAAGAUGCAGUUGGUGGAUGGUAUCAUUUUAAUUUCAGAGAAAUAAAGGAAGUCCUGUCUUUAAGGAUCUGGCAUGCAGUUUGGGGCUGGAAAGCUGGUAAAUUCUUACUGGCUUCAAGCUCCAUCCAAAUAGGCCAAAUUUUAGGGCAGGACUCCAGUCCCAUUGGCAGGAUUGUAGGUUCUCUCAGGAAUAAAAGGAAAAGGCCAGUUCUUGGGAUGAAGAGCUGUGUUGGGCAAGUUUUAUGGUAAGCCUAGGUGGAUGCUGAAUUGUAAAUUGUAUUCUCCUCUGCUGGUAGUCCUGGGGUUCAUUUUCAGUUAGGAUUAAUUCAGGUAUUCGGUUAGACUAAAUUUUCAGAUAAUCAUUGGGACUGAACCAAGCAUCAAGAGGUAGGACCUGAUGGUUGAUAGACUACUAUUUCUAUGCCAGCUUCCAGAUCUUAGUAUUGCAAUGGUAUAGUGUACAUGCUCAGAGUAGGUAUUGAUUUGACAGUUGUGAUUCAUUCAAUAUGAUCCCCUAAGUAUACCUGAGUUAAUAGUGUAAAUGGAUGUCCAGAAUCCCCAUCUUGGCUAUUGAGAAUGGCUUUAGGAUGUAUUUAGACUAAAAAUUUUAUUUAUUUUCCUACUUUUGAAAGUGAUCAUUUAAAAUAUUUCCUUUUAGUACCCCAUUAACUAUACUUAAAUAGUAACAUUCACCUUCUUUAAAACUGAAGUAAACCCUACUUAUUGCUUUACACCAGUCCUUUGGCUAGCAAGAAUGCAACAGUAGUAAGGUUCACCACAUUGAAACAUUUACCCCCCUGAGGCUGUCUUCCUGCUGAGUUCAGAGUCAGACACUGCUUGCUCUCAUGAUUAAAAAUGAGAUAUUUUUCACAUAUACACAUGAUGUUAUUGAAGCUAUGGGAAGAAGUCCCCUUUGAGCAUUUGUAGAGAAGAUUUGUUCCGUCAUUCACAUCUGCUCAACUCAUCUUAUGGAUGCUGACUGUAUUUGCAGUUAGUGGUGAAUUUUGCCAUUAGAUAGCAAGUUUCUUUCCACUUGCCCACUUGCGACAAUUCACAGUUCAGUGUAACCAAGCAUAUAUAUAUAUUUUUUUUUUGAAUUUCAUUUUUUCCCCUUGCGUAUGGGCUUUGUGAGUCAGAGUUUUCUUUAUAAAAUUUUUACUUUCAGAAAAUUUCCUAGUAAUUACUAAGUGCAAUCACCUCCCCCCACACCAUGACCUACAUGAAAACCAAGACUCAGAGAUCUGAAAUAAUAUUGCCUGAGCUCAGUUGCUAUUACAUGAAUCCUAAAAUCCUAUUUUUCAAACUAUAUCUAUUUUUUUUAGAAAACAUUUAUAUUUUAUAAACAUACUACUGAUUUGCAAACUAUUGAAAAAGUGCUUUUUUGACUUUUUUUAAACCUCUGUCUCUAAUGAUUAGAUUUGUUUGAUGGCCACUUUUUCCUGGAUUCUUUUUACCAAUGUACUAUUAUUCAAUUAAAUCCACUGUCAAUUCCAUAACAGUGAUGAAGAUAUCCGAAUACUGUCAAGAAGGUAAGUUUUUAUGAAAUUAAAUACUCAAAUGACAAAUUUAAAGAAUAUUAGCCAAAUUUUCAGAUGUUUCCUAAAUCUGUACAUCUGUGGAAUUCUGUGGAGAAAUUUUCAGAUUAGUGCCUGAAAGGCUUAACCAUCAUUGGAAGGCAGCUUCCAAUGAGAAGCUUUUUAAAAACUUUUCCCAUGUUAUUUUAAAUUAAAAAAAUCAAAAGACUAAUGAUGCUGUCCAGAAAUACUGAUUUAAUUGUUUUUAUUAGAUUAAAUUUAUUAAAAUGGAUCUUUCUUACUGUCUCAUCUCUUACAAUGCAAUCACAUUUACGUGUGUAUGAGCAGAGUAUUCUCAAUGGUGUCUUCAGAUUUACAUCAUUGAUUACUUAACACAACCAUUAAGUCCAUUAUUAAUUUAAUACCAGCAAAUAUAAGAUGAAUAAUUACUAAAUAUUAUCCAUUAAUAUGUACCUAGGGCCACAAUGUUAUACAUUUAAAUUAUCUCUGAUUAUCUGUCAUUUUCCUUUAUAGAUACAUAUUAUAUUAACAUACUCAAAUAUCUGAAAACUCAGAUUAGCUUUAUUUAAAAUCAUAUUUUGUAGGACAUCACAGCCAGAAAUUGGCCCUGUGUAGGCAUCUCUCUGAGAGGAAUGUUAAAAUUGUCACAAUUGUCAUUCGAGGUGAGUUCAAGUUAUUGCUUUAAAAAUGCCUAAAGGAAUCUCUUGCCUUAAGGUUUUAUAAGUUAUUCUCAUAAGAAAAGUUAGUUUAAAAUAAGUGAACUUACACUAUGAGUCUUGAAAAUUGUUUAGCUUAUUAAAUAGUUAACUUAUGGAUAUGAAAUUCAUUAGUUUUAAAAGGUUACAAAUAUGAUUACUUCAACUAUAUAUGUAGAUAGCCAUUUGUUUACAUAUACAUACUCCUGUUCAUGUAUUCAAUACAUAUUUAUUGAGCAUCUACUUGACUCCAGGCACAUUGUUAGGACAGGAAAUAUAAUAGAAUCAAAAUAAGCAUGGCACCUGCCCUUGUAGAUCCUGUAUAGCAUGAGGAUCACUGCUAACUCCUGCUCCUGCUCUCCUGGCAGGCAUCACUAAUCAACAAAGACAUUCUCAGAGCUUGGAGCUCCUCAACUUUGUCCUCUUCAUCAGUUACUGUGAAUGAAUCAACACUGGCAUGGGAACUAAAAACAAUUUGCCAACCUAGGUGUAUUUCAAGGUGUACGUAACAUGCCAUUUAAAUUGGAUAUUUCAACCGAGAUACCCAGUUGAUAACAAGUACAGUUGAUAACAAGAAUCAAAGUAAAUUUCAACAUAGACUUCUUAAUUAAGUCAGCUUUGAAUAUUUUAUUUGGGAAUGGGUUGCGUGAUUUUGGGGGGUCUUUUUCCAGAGGCCCUGUGUCAAGAUGAAAAAAUAAAGAUAAAAAAGUGGAUCCAGGUUGGCCAAGUAUUUUGUAGAGAUAGCAUUAAGACUCUCUUUAUGGAGUCAUCUUCUUUCCACCCAAGGCUAUUGAGGGAUUCUUUCCUGGGAGACUUGGCAAGUAUGCAAUCAAAAUGCCACAGGGCACUGGUGCCACAAUCAUACUUGAGAAUGUUGAAGUGGCUUGUGUACAAGAGAACUGUGUAUGUGGGGGAAAAACUACAUCGUUACCAUUGUAAGUCAAUGGGGGUAUGAAUACUGACUGGGACCAGUAUUUUCCAAUGAAUCUUUCCAAAGAUUUUCUUUCCAGGUGAGGGGACCCCAGUGAAAGCAAGCUGAAAGGAUCACCAGGACAGAAACUGAGUUGAGAUUGGAAUCUACAGAGUCCAGAAGAACCACUGCCCAGGGGGCAGGUGUUAGAAUUGAUGGGACCCGGGGGCAAGAAACUUCAAAGACUUGCAAAAGCACCCGCACAAGGAUGUCAGCUUUAAAACAUCUGCAAGGUCUAAGAAACACAGCAUCUGCUCAUAACAACAGUGGUCAUGUAAGAAGUACAAAUAUUCUUGUCACUUUAAUACCAACCUCUCCCAACCUCCAGUUGGUGGAUGCAGAAGGAAAUAUUUCCUCCCAUUGAAGGCCACAGACUUCAGCUGAGGGGAGGAAAUCAGACUUAACUUUCAAUCAAGUGAAGACAUCAAAAAAUUAUCUGAAAGAGUACAUUUUAUACUAUUUGAGAUCAUAUUUGUUACUGGAAGAGUUACAGGCCUUUUUGCUCUCUGAAAGUGACCCCCAAAAGUUGUAGAAAUUGCAUUGUCACUCAAAAGCAGGGGAUGGACCAAAAGUAUUGAUGGACUGAAAGUGGGACUUUGGGAAACAGAAAUACAGCAGUUCAUCUUAUGAUAGCAUGUAUUUAUUGGACAACAAUUAUGCGCCAGUGUACUGGAUAUAUGUGGAUGGGAGAAAAGCAUUUUAAGCAACUGCUGACUCAUCAGGGGGUAUAGUUAAGGACUUUAUGUUCAGUGUUCUAAAGAUGAUGUGCAUAUGGGUGGAGAGAUAAUAGAUAGGGAGUGACCUAGGCAUUCUGUUCAUUUUGUGUAAUUUCUGCAAAGGUUUGGUGAAACCUUAAGCCUGUUAACUAGGGGAAGUGUUGUGAUUCUGGUCCUCUUUGUUGACUUGACCAUAUAUGAGUUUGUCCUCUUAUCUCUGUCCUAUACCAGUUUGCAUUUAAAUUGCUGGACUGAUGUGUCAUGGGUGCUAAGUUACUUUUAGAACCUUUAUUUCCUGCCUGAAAAGUUCAGUGUUUAAGUACUGAUUUUCUUCUAUUAUGUAUAUAUCUUAUAGUUUUACUAAUUUGCAUUUGAAUUUUUUUUUUUUUUUGCAAUUUGAUGGGUUUUUGCUUAAGAUUGUUACAUAAAAUGAGCUAUUAGAAAUAAAAUGAGGGACUAUUACAUAAAAGAGUCAUUUUCCUUUUCUUUCAUAUUCAAGACCAUUGGGAAGAAAUCUGGAUUCUGGUGACAAUUGUUUUGCAGGUUCUCCAGUAGGGAUGAAUGAGCAGGACUUGUGUUCUAUGCAGCAU